This 444-nucleotide ribosomal RNA is filed under the name Rhipicephalus sanguineus (brown dog tick). RNAcentral's name for it is "partial 16S ribosomal RNA". The record is from RNAcentral. Lineage: Eukaryota; Metazoa; Arthropoda; Arachnida; Ixodida; Ixodidae.
UUUUUUUUUUUUAAAUUUUCCUCCUGCUUCAAAUGAUUUUAAAUUGCUGUGGUAUUUUGACUAUACAAAGGUAUUGAAAUAAGAUUUUAAUUGAAUGCUAAGAGAAUGGAAGUCCAGAAAAAAACUUUUUUUAAAUUAAAAAUUGAAGUUUUUUUAAUUUGUGCAGAAACAAUUAUUUAUAUUAAAGACAAGAAGACCCUAUGAAUUUAUUAAAUUUUUAUUUAAUAUGUAAUUACUAUUAGAAAAAUUUUGGCUGGGGCGGCUAGAAAAUAUUAUGAACUUUUUAAAAAUAAAAUGAUCCAUUAUUAAUGAUUUUAUGUUAAAUACUCUAGGGAUAACAGCGUUAUAUUUUUUGAUAGAUCAUAUUGACAAAAAAGUUUGCGACCUCGAUGUUGGAUUAGGAUACUUUUUUAAUGAAGAUAUAAAAAAAGAAGUUGUCACGAC